This 2475-nucleotide unclassified non-coding RNA is filed under the name Leishmania donovani. Its description in RNAcentral is "gene:LdHU3.19.1530(CDS-product:SPFH_domain_/_Band _7_family_putative)". The record is from RNAcentral. Lineage: Eukaryota; Euglenozoa; Kinetoplastea; Trypanosomatida; Trypanosomatidae.
AAGCACGCGUGCAUCCACUCUGCAGCGACCGCAUCCGUCACAAAUCCAUCUCUCUAUACGUGCGUGUGUGUGUGUGUGUGUGUGUGUGUGUGUGUGCGUGUGCGUGUCUUGCGUUUUCGUUCGUGUUCGGUGUUCUGGCUCGUGCACGCCGACAAAGCACUCGAGCGGCAGCGUGAGAUCAUCGCCGUCAUCGUCAUCGUCCAUCUCCUCCAUCCACGGAUCACCUCCUCGACUCUCUUCUCAUUGCACCAAUGGGCACUUGCCCGUCCAUCUCUCAGUCCGAGGUCGGUAUCGUCGAGACUUGUGGCCGCUUCUCCUACACUGCCGACCCCGGCAUCCACUGCCUGUGGUGCGGCUCCAUCCUCGUUCGCCGCAUUACUCUUCGCCUGCAGGAGUACGAGCUGAAGGUGGAGUCGAAAACAAAGGACAACGUGUUUGUGACCCUAUCGCUCGUCAUACAGUACCAAGUGGCCCCUGACAAGCUCGCCGAGGUGUACUACGCAUGCGACUCGUCGCUGGAGUGCAUGCGGGACUACGUCUUGAACUCGAUUCGUGCGAAGAUUCCUCUGUACAAGCUGGAGGCGCUGUACGUCGAGCGCGGCACCAUCUCGCAGCAGCUGAAGGAUGAGGUUGACGCAAUCAUCAACACCUAUGGCAUCGAGAUCGUGUCCGCCCUCAUCUCCGACAUUGACCCUGGCGCGGAGAUCACGAAGGCGAUGAACGAGGUGCAGAAGUUUCAGCGGCUGCGCGUCGCCUCCGUGGACGCUGCGGAGACAGAAAAGCUGAAGCGCGUGCGUGCUGCUGAGGCUCGGUGCGAGGCGCGUCGUCUCUCCGGUGAGGGUCUCGCCGAGCAGCGCAAGGCCAUCGUCGCUGGUCUGAUGCAGUCCAUCGAGGACGUGCAGAGUGAGGUGCGCGACUUGUCCUCCAACGACGCAACGAACAUGCUGCUAAUGAACCAGUACUACGACACGCUGCAAGCCAUCGCCGCAAACAGCAGUUCAAGUGUCAUUAUGUUGGAGUCGAAUGGCGGGCUGGAGAAGGUGGCGGCGCAGCUGCGCCAGGGCGUGACGCACAUGAUGCGGUGAGAGCGAACGAGGGGGAAAACACGGCUGUGAGCUCACGCAGCAGUCCUGCCAUCUUCGGGGCAUCUGCACACACGCACGCCACAUCUCUUUCUCUUUCUUCGCUUUCAAAGUCAGCGCCCCGCUGUCUGAGCUCUUGGAAGCUCGCACGCUCGCGCAUUUUCUCUUUUCCUUCUUUCGAGUGCGAUGCGUCGCGUGUUUUUUGCUUUGCUGAUGUUUUUUUCGUGGGUUGUUGGCGCACCUCUGCAUGUGCGUCUGUCUGCCGGAGAAGGGGGCGAGGAGGAAGGAGGGGGUUGCGCUGUAAAGCUCGCGUAUUACGUAUCCUGCCGCUGUCUCGCCCUCUGUCUGUGUGUGCGUGUGCAAUUCUUGUUGCUCUAUGGAUGCACAUAUGUGAAGAGUCGACAAUAAGGAGAGGAGCGGCACCUCUGCGCCUGCGUCCAACGGAUCGCCUCUUUCGUGGUCGUCGUCUGCGGGGGCGUGUACGGCUGUUCUUGUUGUUGUCGCUCUUGUUGUUGCGUUCUUUUGCCUCGCUUAGACUAUGCAUCCUUGCCUCCGCUCACCCUGGCGCGCCAGCCCGCAUGCGUUGCUUGGCGUGGGUGUGUGCAUCCCUGUCUGCGCGCCUUCGCCUUGAGCUCCGCCUUGUGUCGCUCUUCUCCUGAUUGGUUGCAUCGCGGCAGCAUCACCGCCGACGUGUCGGCACACACACAAACACGAGCAGGCAGGCUCACCACUAUGAAGGCUAGGAAGCGAUUUAGCGAAAAAGAAAAGGCGAGGAAGGCUGGUGCGCCACGCAUAGACUUAGACACGCGCCCAUCACGCGCGUGCUAACGCAUAUCGCUCGCCACCACCACCACCCCCUUUUUGUGUGUGUUUGGUUGCCAUGACGCUGCUCGAAUCAUACACGUUGUUGUUCUUGUCGUGCCUGCUCCCAUCGCUCCACCCUUGGGCAUGCGCUGGGCAGAGGAUGGGCAUGUCCAGUUCCUUUCUACAUACAUAUACAGGCACAUACACAUAUGCGUAUAUAUAUAUAUACAUGUAUACAUAUUCUUUCGACGAGGUGCGAUUCUUCCGCUCACGCACGCACGCAGACACGCAAGCCGCCUCAUAUUCGUAUUUAUAUCUCUGUUCAUUGUAUCGGUAUGGCUGCCCGUGUGACUGCGUGGCUUCCCCCACCCACCUCACCCCAGACAACGGAACGGAAACCAAAAAAAAAAUGCCAAGCUUUCGUGUGGAUACGAAAGGCGAUCGAUAUGGAGAGGGAAAAAGGGGGAGGCGGGGCGGGCCUUUCCGUUGACUCCGUUCCGCAGAUGACGGCGGCACGCGGCGCCCCCUCCUCCGGUGAAGCGCCCGCUUCCCAAAGCUGUCGAAGAACACAACGUGAGCGUGUAAGGAG